CCGCGGAAAAAUGGCCAAAAAACGGGUGGGCUAUAGCCUUGGUGGGGGGCGCGGGCGAAGUUCGUCCGCCGGACUCGGAAUGGGGCUAGACUUUGCGAGGGGCCUCGGGGUGCCAAAAAUAAGCCUCGGGCAAAGCCGCGUCCAAAAAUAAGCACCCGAAGGUCGUGGUGCCAAAACCCCCCAGCGGAAAAAUGGCCAAAAAACGGGUGGGCUAUAGCCUUGGUGGGGGGCGCGAGCGAAGUUCGUCCUCCGGACUCGGCAUGGGGCGAGACUUUGCGAGGGGCCUCGGGGUGCCCGCGGGAAGUCGCGGGCACAGCCGCGCCCAAAAAUAAGCGCCCGAAGGUCGUGGUACCAAAACCCCCCAGCGGAAAAAUGGCCAAAAAACGGGUGGGCUAUAGCCUUGGUGGGGGGCACGGGCGAAGUUCGUCCGCCGGACUCGAAAUGGGGCGAGACUUUGCGAGGGGCCUAGGGGCGCAGAAAUAAGCCGCGGGCAAAGCCACGCCCAAAAAUAAGCGCCCGAAGGUCGUGGUGCCAAAACCCCCCAGCGGAAAAAUGGCGAAAAAACGGGUGGGCUAUAGCCUUGGUGGGGGGCGCGGGCGAAGUUCGUCCGCCGGACUCGGAAUGGGGCGAGACUUUGCGAGGGGCCUCGGGGUCCCCGCGGGAAGUCGCGGGCACAGCCGCGCCCAAAAAUAAGCUUCCGAAGGUCGUGGUGCCAAAACCCCCCAGCGGAAAAAUGGCCAAAAAACGGGUGGGCUAUAACCUUGGUGGGGGGCGCGGGCGAAGUUCGUCCGCCGGACUCGGAAUAGGUCGAGACUUUGCGAGGGUCCAUGGGGUGCCUGCGGGAAGUCGCGGGCACAGCCGCGCCCAAAAAUAAGCGCCCAAAGGUCGUGGUGCCAAAACCCCCCAGCAGAAAAAUGGCCAAAAAACGGGUGGGCUAUAGCCUUGGUGGGGGGCGCGGGCGAAGUUCGUCCGCCGGACUCGGAAUGGGGCAAGCCUUUGCGAGGGGCCUCAGGGAGCCAAAAAUAAGCCGCGGGCAAAGCCGCGCCCAAAAAUAAUCGCCCGAAGGUCGUGGUGCCAAAACCCCCCAGCGGAAAAAUGGCCAAAAAACGGGUGGGCUAUAGCCUUGGUGGGGGGAGCGGGCGAAGUUCGUCCGCCGGACUCGGAAUGGGGCGAGACUUUGCGAGGGGCCUCGGGGCGCCAAAAAUAAGCCGCGGGCAAAGCCGCGCCCAAAAAUAAGCUCCCGAAGGUCGUGGUGCCAAAACCCCCCAGCGGAAAAAUGGCCAAAAAACGGGUGGGCUAUAGCCCUGGUGGGGGGCGCGGGCGAAGUUCGUCCGCCGGACUCGGAAUGGGGCGAGACUUUGCGAGGGGCCUCGGGGUCCCCGCGGGAAGUCGCGGGCACAGCCGCGCCCAAAAAUAAGCUUCCGAAGGUC
Molecule: long non-coding RNA, 1430 nt
Filed under: Citrus x clementina
Lineage: Eukaryota; Viridiplantae; Streptophyta; Magnoliopsida; Sapindales; Rutaceae
Description: Citrus clementina (C. clementina) long non-coding RNA (CCLE_LNC004877)
Source: RNAcentral